AUACGGAGGAUCCGAGCGUUAUCCGGAUUUAUUGGGUUUAAAGGGAGCGUAGGCGGACGCUUAAGUCAGUUGUGAAAGUUUGCGGCUCAACCGUAAAAUUGCAGUUGAUACUGGGUGUCUUGAGUACAGUAGAGGCAGGCGGGAUUUGUGGUGUAGGGGGGAAAUGCUUAGAUAUCACGAAGAACUCCGAUUGCGAAGGCAGCCUGCUGGACUGUAACUGACGCUGAUGCUCGAAAGUGUGGGUAUCAAACAGGAUUAGAUACCCUGGUAGUCCACACAGUAAACGAUGAAUACUCGCUGUUUGCGAUAUACAGUAAGCGGCCAAGCGAAAGCGUUAAGUAUUCCACCUGGGGAGUACGCCGGCAACGGUGAAACUCAAAUGAAUUGGCGGGG
Molecule: ribosomal RNA, 393 nt
Filed under: uncultured bacterium
Lineage: Bacteria
Description: partial 16S ribosomal RNA
Rfam family: Bacterial small subunit ribosomal RNA
Source: RNAcentral